RNAcentral lists this ribosomal RNA (289 nucleotides) under uncultured bacterium. Its description in RNAcentral is "partial 16S ribosomal RNA". The record is from RNAcentral.
CUACUGGGGUUUCUAAUCCUGUUUGCUCCCCACGCUUUCGCGUCUCAGCGUCAGUUGCGUUCCAGAGAGCCGCCUUCGCCACGGGUGUUCUUCCUGAUAUCUGUGCAUUCCACCGCUACACCAGGAAUUCCACUCUCCUCUCCCGCACUCUAGCCACCCAGUUUCCCACGACCGCCUGCGGUUGAGCCGCAGGAUUUCACGCAGGACUUAAGUGGCCGCCUACACGCUCUUUACGCCCAAUGAUUCCGGACAACGCUCGGUCCCUACGUAUUACCGCGGCUGCUGGCAC